Molecule: non-coding RNA, 85 nt
Organism: Trametopsis cervina
Lineage: Eukaryota; Fungi; Basidiomycota; Agaricomycetes; Polyporales; Irpicaceae
Source: the annotation of a GenBank genome assembly
UCCCGUUUAGCUCAGCUGGUAGAGCGCGUCACUAGUAUAUUACAUAAUUAUGACGAGGUCAGUCGUUCAAGUCGGCUAAUGGGAA